This 626-nucleotide ribosomal RNA is filed under the name Citrobacter sp. HPC 1200. RNAcentral describes it as "bacterial SSU rRNA". It matches the Rfam family "Bacterial small subunit ribosomal RNA", at positions 60 to 676 of the family's 1533-position model. The record is from RNAcentral. Lineage: Bacteria; Pseudomonadati; Pseudomonadota; Gammaproteobacteria; Enterobacterales; Enterobacteriaceae.
UGUGGAAACGUUCCUACCCGUGGAGGUUUUAACCUUGCUCCUUGGGUGACGAGUGGCGGACGGGUGAGUAAUGUCUGGGAAACUGCCCGAUGGAGGGGGAUAACUACUGGAAACGGUAGCUAAUACCGCAUAACGUCGCAAGACCAAAGAGGGGGACCUUCGGGCCUCUUGCCAUCGGAUGUGCCCAGAUGGGAUUAGCUAGUAGGUGGGGUAACGGCUCACCUAGGCGACGAUCCCUAGCUGGUCUGAGAGGAUGACCAGCCACACUGGAACUGAGACACGGUCCAGACUCCUACGGGAGGCAGCAGUGGGGAAUAUUGCACAAUGGGCGCAAGCCUGAUGCAGCCAUGCCGCGUGUAUGAAGAAGGCCUUCGGGUUGUAAAGUACUUUCAGCGAGGAGGAAGGUGUUGUGGUUAAUAACCGCAGCAAUUGACGUUACUCGCAGAAGAAGCACCGGCUAACUCCGUGCCAGCAGCCGCGGUAAUACGGAGGGUGCAAGCGUUAAUCGGAAUUACUGGGCGUAAAGCGCACGCGCGGUCUGUCAAGUCGGAUGUGAAAUCCCCGGCUCACCUGGGACUGCAUCCAAACUGGAGGCUAAGUCUUGAGAGGGGGGUAAAUUUCGGUGA